GAUCCUGGUUCAGGACGAACGCUGGCGGCGCGCCUAACACAUGCAAGUCGAACGAGCGAGAGAGAGCUUGCUUUCUCAAGCGAGUGGCGAACGGGUGAGUAACGCGUGAGGAACCUGCCUCAAAGAGGGGGACAACAGUUGGAAACGACUGCUAAUACCGCAUAAGCCCACGACCCGGCAUCGGGUAGAGGGAAAAGGAGCAAUCCGCUUUGAGAUGGCCUCGCGUCCGAUUAGCUAGUUGGUGAGGUAACCGG
This 254-nucleotide ribosomal RNA is filed under the name uncultured bacterium. Its description in RNAcentral is "partial 16S ribosomal RNA". It matches the Rfam family "Bacterial small subunit ribosomal RNA", at positions 15 to 263 of the family's 1533-position model. The record is from RNAcentral.